UCCCUCUCAGGGUCACACCUGGAGAGUUUCCAGUACUCUACCAGUCUUGACUACAGGAGGGAGAGUGAAGCAGAGGCCUGUCCAUUCCAUUCCUAGCUUGGCCAGUGGCUAACGAGUGGCAGCCAUCUGCAACAGGU
Molecule: small nucleolar RNA, 137 nt
Organism: Tachyglossus aculeatus (Australian echidna)
Lineage: Eukaryota; Metazoa; Chordata; Mammalia; Monotremata; Tachyglossidae
Source: RefSeq, a predicted model, not a curated record